Molecule: ribosomal RNA, 253 nt
Filed under: uncultured bacterium
Lineage: Bacteria
Description: partial 16S ribosomal RNA
Rfam family: Bacterial small subunit ribosomal RNA
Source: RNAcentral
UACGUAGGGUGCGAGCAUUGUCCGGAAUUAUUGGGCGUAAAGAGCUCGUAGGCGGCUUGUCGCGUCGGAUGUGAAAGCCCGGGGCUUAACCCCGGGUCUGCAUUCGAUACGGGCAGGCUAGAGUUCGGUAGGGGAGACUGGAAUUCCUGGUGUAGCGGUGAAAUGCGCAGAUAUCAGGAGGAACACCGAUGGCGAAGGCAGGUCUCUGGGCCGAUACUGACGCUGAGGAGCGAAAGCGUGGGGAGCGAACAGG